GUGCAGCAGUCGAGAAUCAUCUGCAAUGCGCGCAAGCGUGACGGUGCGACGCCGCGUGCGGGAGGAAGCCCUUCGGGGUGUAAACCGCUUUUCAGAGGUAUGAAGUGCGCCCGCCGAACAAGCGGGUGGCAUUGACGCCAACUCUGGAAUAAGCCACGGCUAACUUCGUGCCAGCAGCCGCGGUAAGACGAAGGUGGCGAGCGUUGCUCGGAAUUACUGGGCUUAAAGCGGGCGCAGGCGGCCCGGUCAGUCGGAUGUGAAAUCCCUCGGCUCAACCGAGGAAUGGCAUCCGAUACUGCCGGGCUUGAGGCAUCCAGGGGCGACUGGAACUCUCGGUGGAGCGGUGAUAUGCGUAGAUAUCGAGAGGAACGCCAAUAGCGAAGGCAGGUCGCUGGGGAUGUCCUGACGCUGAGGCCCGAAAGCCAGGGGAGCGAACGGGAUUAGAUACCCCCGUAGUCC
RNAcentral lists this ribosomal RNA (459 nucleotides) under uncultured Planctomycetota bacterium. RNAcentral's name for it is "uncultured planctomycete partial 16S rRNA". It matches the Rfam family "Bacterial small subunit ribosomal RNA", at positions 346 to 796 of the family's 1533-position model. Lineage: Bacteria; Pseudomonadati; Planctomycetota. The record is from RNAcentral.